Triticum aestivum (bread wheat) is the source of this 113-nucleotide non-coding RNA. NCBI's taxonomy places the organism in Eukaryota, Viridiplantae, Streptophyta, Magnoliopsida, Poales, Poaceae. The record is from Rfam.
GCGUGCCGAUGAUGAUGCAAAAGCUUCGGUGAAUUCUGGAUGAAUGCGCUUGCGCACCAUCAGUUGUGUGCGCAGCUCUGGUGAUAUCCACUGCGUAAUACUCUGAGGCACAC